UGGCAGCAGGCCACCUUUAAUUUCUGGAUCUGGGACUGAAGUGACUGCUCUAAUUGCAGGUCCACUUGCCAGUAACAGACAUGAUGCCAUUUUGGUUUUGUGAUCCCUUUCCAUGAGGAGACUGUCGCAGCUCGCAAGGAGGCUGUGAUCUCACAGGCCUGCUCUUGGGAUUUUUAGCCCAGCUGAAGAUUAAACCAGGACUACUGCCUCUCCACAUAUUUUUGUGAAUUUCCAGCCUUUACUUGUGUCCCACUGAAUGAUAAUAAAGAUCCCACUCUUUCAUUACCUGGUAUCCUUAUCCUGCUACACUUCAGGGAGAUGAAUUGAGCCUUGUGACAUAAGCCACAAUGAGGCCAAGGACAAGCAUUGAAACAGAAGACAGAUGUAGCAAAGGAAGAUGGAUACACUUCAGGACACAGGAUUCUGAACAUAAUAUUCUAAGGGAAUGUGGUAAAAACAACCCUAUAUGAAGAAAAGCAAUUUGAAUAUGCAAUAACUGUGUGAAAAAAUGUAAAUGGCUUAGCUUGAAAAGAUGUUAGUAUAAGUAAAAUAAUGGCAUACCCUUUUCAACAGGAGGGUUGAAAGAAUAAGAAUAUAUAUAGCUGGAAGAAUAAGAACAUUUGAAGACACAUGAGGAAAUAUCUCCAUCCUGGAAAGAGAAAGGAAGUUUUAACAUGCACAAAAUUUAAAUUCCUUCAAUUUUGUCAUGAUAUGUAUCCUACAGCAGAGUGUGAUAACUCUCUUGUUCUACAGGGUCU
Molecule: long non-coding RNA, 758 nt
Organism: Zonotrichia leucophrys gambelii
Lineage: Eukaryota; Metazoa; Chordata; Aves; Passeriformes; Passerellidae
Exons: 4
Source: RefSeq, a predicted model, not a curated record